RNAcentral lists this ribosomal RNA (274 nucleotides) under uncultured bacterium. RNAcentral describes it as "partial 16S ribosomal RNA". It matches the Rfam family "Bacterial small subunit ribosomal RNA", at positions 523 to 796 of the family's 1533-position model. The record is from RNAcentral.
AUACGGAGGGUGCAAGCGUUAUUCGGAAUCACUGGGCGUAAAGGACGCGUAGGCGGGUUGGCAAGUCAGAUGUGAAAUCCUACAGCUUAACUGUAGAACUGCAUUUGAAACUGCUAACCUAGAGUAUGGGAGGGGGAGAUGGAAUUAGUGGUGUAGGGGUAAAAUCCGUAGAUAUCACUAGGAAUACCGAAAGCGAAGGCGAUCUCCUGGAACAUAACUGACGCUAAGGCGUGAAUGCGUGGGGAGCAAACAGGAUUAGAUACCCCAGUAGUCC